UAGGGAAUUUUCCACAAUGGGCGAAAGCCUGAUGGAGCAACGCCGCGUGCAGGAUGAAGGCCCUAGGGUUGUAAACUGCUUUUAUCUGUGACGAAUAUGACGGUAGCAGAUGAAUAAGGAUCGGCUAACUCCGUGCCAGCAGCCGCGGUCAUACGGAGGAUCCAAGCGUUAUCCGGAAUUACUGGGCGUAAAGAGUUGCGUAGGUGGCAAAGUAAGUCGGUAGUGAAAGCGUGGGGCUCAACCCUAUACACAUUAUCGAAACUGCUUAGCUAGAGGAUGAGAGAGGUUAUUGGAAUUCCCAGUGUAGGAGUGAAAUCCGUAGAUAUUGGGAGGAACACCGAUGGCGUAGGCAGAUAACUGGCUCAUUCCUGACACUAAGGCACGAAAGCGUGGGGAGCAAACGGGAUUAGAUACCCGCGUAGUCC
RNAcentral lists this ribosomal RNA (425 nucleotides) under uncultured bacterium. RNAcentral describes it as "bacterial SSU rRNA". It matches the Rfam family "Bacterial small subunit ribosomal RNA", at positions 355 to 796 of the family's 1533-position model. The record is from RNAcentral.